GACGAACGCUGGCGGCGUGCUUAACACAUGCAAGUCGAACGGAAAGGCCCCCUUGUGGGGUACUCGAGUGGCGAACGGGUGAGUAACACGUGAGUAACCUACCCUUGACUUUGGGAUAACUUCAGGAAACUGGGGCUAAUACCGGAUAGGAGCUCCUGCUGCAUGGUGGGGGUUGGAAAGUUUCGGCGGUUGGGGAUGGACUCGGGGCUUAUCAGCUUGUUGGUGGGGUAGUGGCUCACCAAGGCUUUGACGGGUAGCCGGCCUGCGAGGGUGACCGGCCACAUUGGGACUGAGAGACGGCCCAGACUCCUACGGGAGGCAGCAGGGGGGAAUAUUGCACAAUGGGCGGAAGCCUGAUGCAGCAACGCCGCGUGCGGGAUGACGGCCUUCGGGUUGUAAACCGCUUUCGCCUGUGACGAAGCGUGAGUGACGGUAAUGGGUAAAGAAGCACCGGCUAACUACGUG
Molecule: ribosomal RNA, 465 nt
Filed under: uncultured bacterium
Lineage: Bacteria
Description: partial 16S ribosomal RNA
Rfam family: Bacterial small subunit ribosomal RNA
Source: RNAcentral